RNAcentral lists this ribosomal RNA (634 nucleotides) under Pseudomonas sp. RNAcentral's name for it is "bacterial SSU rRNA". It matches the Rfam family "Bacterial small subunit ribosomal RNA", at positions 52 to 680 of the family's 1533-position model. The record is from RNAcentral. Lineage: Bacteria; Pseudomonadati; Pseudomonadota; Gammaproteobacteria; Pseudomonadales; Pseudomonadaceae.
CACAUGCAAGUCGAGCGGUUGAAGGAAGCUUGCUUCCUGAUUCAGCGGCGGACGGGUGAGUAAUGCCUAGGAAUCUGCCUGGUAGUGGGGGACAACGUUUCGAAAGGAACGCUAAUACCGCAUACGUCCUACGGGAGAAAGCAGGGGACCUUCGGGCCUUGCGCUAUCAGAUGAGCCUAGGUCGGAUUAGCUAGUUGGUGAGGUAAUGGCUCACCAAGGCGACGAUCCGUAACUGGUCUGAGAGGAUGAUCAGUCACACUGGAACUGAGACACGGUCCAGACUCCUACGGGAGGCAGCAGUGGGGAAUAUUGGACAAUGGGCGAAAGCCUGAUCCAGCCAUGCCGCGUGUGUGAAGAAGGUCUUCGGAUUGUAAAGCACUUUAAGUUGGGAGGAAGGGCAGUCAGCGAAUACCUUGCUGUCUUGACGUUACCGACAGAAUAAGCACCGGCUAACUCUGUGCCAGCAGCCGCGGUAAUACAGAGGGUGCAAGCGUUAAUCGGAAUUACUGGGCGUAAAGCGCGCGUAGGUGGUUUGUUAAGUUGAAUGUGAAAUCCCCGGGCUCAACCUGGGAACUGCAUCCAAAACUGGCAAGCUAGAGUAGGGCAGAGGGUGGGUGGAAUUUCCUGUGUAGCG